ACAUAUCUAGUCUUUCCCCAAGUAUUACGAUAAAAUAUUUAUACCUAUCACAUUCAUGAUUCACAGCUUACACUCUAAAAGAGUACUUAAGCCUUUACUCAUUCAUAUGAUAAGGACCAUAAUACCAUUUGGCCCAAUCUCACCCCGCGCAAAUACCACGCGAAGCGGCUCUGAUUUUUUUUUUUUUUUCUACAAGUGGUCACUUAACUUUCAAACCAGUCCCACAGUCCGGCAUCCUAAACUUCAAACUUAGAAUACACUACAAAGAUCUG
Molecule: long non-coding RNA, 272 nt
Filed under: Coffea arabica (coffee)
Lineage: Eukaryota; Viridiplantae; Streptophyta; Magnoliopsida; Gentianales; Rubiaceae
Description: long non-coding RNA (CARA_LNC005421)
Source: RNAcentral